AUUUAUAUAGUUUAAAAUUAAAACCUUACAUUUUCAUUGUAAUAAUAAAAUUAUUUAUU
Molecule: transfer RNA, 59 nt
Filed under: Setora sinensis
Lineage: Eukaryota; Metazoa; Arthropoda; Insecta; Lepidoptera; Limacodidae
Description: tRNA-Glu
Source: RNAcentral